This 392-nucleotide ribosomal RNA is filed under the name Acinetobacter towneri. Its description in RNAcentral is "bacterial SSU rRNA". It matches the Rfam family "Bacterial small subunit ribosomal RNA", at positions 1147 to 1533 of the family's 1533-position model. The record is from RNAcentral. Lineage: Bacteria; Pseudomonadati; Pseudomonadota; Gammaproteobacteria; Moraxellales; Moraxellaceae.
UACUGCCAGUGACAAACUGGAGGAAGGCGGGGACGACGUCAAGUCAUCAUGGCCCUUACGGCCAGGGCUACACACGUGCUACAAUGGUCGGUACAAAGGGUUGCUACACAGCGAUGUGAUGCUAAUCUCAAAAAGCCGAUCGUAGUCCGGAUCGCAGUCUGCAACUCGACUGCGUGAAGUCGGAAUCGCUAGUAAUCGCGGAUCAGAAUGCCGCGGUGAAUACGUUCCCGGGCCUUGUACACACCGCCCGUCACACCAUGGGAGUUUGUUGCACCAGAAGUAGGUAGUCUAACCKYARGGAGGACGCUUACCACGGUGUGGCCGAUGACUGGGGUGAAGUCGUAACAAGGUAGCCGUAGGGGAACCUGCGGCUGGAUCACCUCCUUAACGAA